Hippocampus zosterae (dwarf seahorse) is the source of this 1531-nucleotide long non-coding RNA. RefSeq lists it as uncharacterized. The record is from RefSeq and is a predicted model, not a curated record. The transcript is spliced from 3 exons. NCBI's taxonomy places the organism in Eukaryota, Metazoa, Chordata, Actinopteri, Syngnathiformes, Syngnathidae.
AUGUGGCAGGAAAUCGAGAUUUUAAUGGAAACCCGCUGAACUGUGGUGGUGCUAACCAAAAAUCUUCUGCCGACACCGGUAACGUGCUGGAAUCAAAAUCAAACGCAAGAACUGAGAUACUGAGCCUGGAGGCCCUCGAUCGGAUCCCAAUGGAAUGGGCAGAAAUAUUCACAUUUUCACUUGUCAGCGGACCGGCCACAUGUCACAACACAAGAGACAAACACAACAAGCAAGCUGCGGCGGCGCGACAGUGUGAGAAGCGCAUACCAGAGAGGGGCUCACUGAAAGUCGAGGGGAAGCGAAAAAGGGCCAUCAUAUUUGAACAUAAAUUUUCAGCCGCGAUCGCAUUAAACCCAAGUGAGCCCAGCUUACCCCUUUGGUGAACUCUGACAGUGAAGUGACGACACACGGCGGCCGAAGCCCUUACUGCCUGUGCAAAAAAAACUUCCUUCAAAGGUUUUUUUCUUCCAAAUCUUAAAGCAUCCUGAAUGUGCCCAUCACAUGAAUAAUUAGUUUAAAAGAAUACAAAAUUACCAAAUGAAAUGCACAAGGAGCACAUUUAACACUGUAACAAACGAACAUGUUCCUUUGGAACGUGUUCGCUUCACCUAAAGUGCAAUGUAGUGUAUUCAAAAAUAAAAAUAAAAAGUAGGUGAACUCAAAUUUUUAAGGCAACAUAACCUAAGUUGGGCAAUUCAACUCCAUGUUUUAAGGUUUCCUGUGGUUAAAACUGUCGCUAUCAUUUUCAACGAGUAAAGACAAGUUUUCAGAACUAAUUUCCCCUUGUAUUGUGCCCCAACUUAAAGCUAGAAGUAAAAAAAAACAAUUCAGCUAAUUGUUUUGGAGCAAACAAGUUGUUGCGCCAACUUACAAUAUAAUGUAUAGUAUAAAAAAAUGUAUAGUUUAAAGUUGUUCCAACUGAAAUGACUGUUUUUAGUCACAGACAAAUAACAAGUUGUGUUUUUUUACAGUCUGAUGUGUUUAAACCGAUACCGCCGUGCUUCAUUUGACAAAAGAAAAGUGUACUUUUAAUGUGCAACAUAACAGCAGUCAAUUCUACCGCCCCCUCCCUCUGCCCCCCCCCUUGCUCGUUUCAAACAGUACCGAAAGGUGAAAAGGUCACGCUUCAGUCAUAUCAGCAAAGCGCAUCACAGUCAACUUCCUGUCUGAUUGCAUCAAGAAAAAAAAAUAUCCUCACACUAUCUUAGAAAACGGUGACAAAAUAGUGAUGGGAACCCAGUUAGGUAACAUAGUCACAAUAGCAUCAGAUUGUCUCCCCUAACAAAAUGUCUUUUUAAAACAAGUUUUCAUAGCAGCAUGGGGCCUAAUUUCUCUUCACACAAGCUACACGUGAAUCCCGAAUUGCCACACGUCUUUUUCACUCCCGAAAAGAGUAACGGCAACCCCAUACUGUACUCGUGUACUAAUGAGACGUGUCAACAGUGCGUAGAGGGCCGCUGACAAAUAAAAUCCCCAGCUGUCAACGGGCAAGCCAGAAAUUAAGAGGGAAACUAUGACAGGAAAAUCAGAA